Molecule: long non-coding RNA, 1895 nt
Filed under: Homo sapiens (human)
Lineage: Eukaryota; Metazoa; Chordata; Mammalia; Primates; Hominidae
Description: HSALNT0080534
Source: RNAcentral
AUUUGAAUGUAUAUAUGUAAGGUAUACAACAUGAUGUUUUAAGAUAUAGCUAUAGAUAGUAAAAUUAUUACCAUAGUGAUGCAAAUUAAUUUGUUCAUGUUACCUAGUUACCCAUUAUUUUUCUUUCCUUGAUAUAUAAUAUUUUACAUAUUUAUGGGGUAUAUGUGAGUGUUUGUUGCAGGGAUAGAAUAUGUAAUGGUCCCAUUGUUACUGCAAUACCAAGGGUUUGGUCUAGGCCCUACUGCUCACUGCACAGAAAGCCAAUCACUGAGAUGAUGAGUACUGCCAAGGAAGAAGGCUUUAACUUGGUGCUGCAGCCAAGGAGAUGGGAGCUCAGUCUCCAAUUCAUCUCCCUGACUGACUAACUAUGGGUUUAUAUAGCAGGGAAGAAAUGUAACCAUGCAUAAGAAAACAGGAACUAAGGAGGGGCAAGGAAGCCAUCAUCAUGAAUGAGAAGUCUGACAACUGGUGCUGUGAUCUGCUAAUUACCAAGAGCACUUUAAGCACACUGGUGGAUUUAAACAAUGUGAAUAAGUAAGAUUGUGAUUUGGCUUUGACAAAGGCAGAGUCAAGCUGGCUUUGUCAUGUAAAGGGCCUGAGACGGCCACAUGGUAUGUUUAAUUGAUGUAAGUACCAGAAAAUGGCAUAAAUGAGUACAGAAUUUAGUUUAAGGGCAUGAUAAACAUGGGAAGGAAAGAAAUGAAAAGAACUAAGAUGUGGGUGAAAAUAUUUGGAGGCGAUGAAUUGAUUACAGAUGAUUAUUGAAAGCUGUUGGCCAUAACACUCCCAGAGGCCUCAUUGUACGGGUUCAAGAAACUGUCAUAAGAGAAUUCUGAAAGCCAAGGUAAGCAGUAAGUAUCCAUUAGGUAGUUUCCAUUCUUUCUCUUCCUGAAAACGUUUAUCAUCUCCAGUGUGAUUUGCACAUAUUGAUUAAUUAAUCUCUAAGUGACUAAUUUUUCAUUAUUUGACAGAUAAUUAGAUCUUUCAUAAAUCUGUGUAAUAAAAGCAUGCAGGAAGCAUUGUGAGCCAGUUUAAUAAUUGGCAUUAGUUUUCAAGAAGAAUGUGUUCCAGCUCAGUUGUUUCCUUAUUAGAAAUCAUCCUGUCAGGAAACACUUUAUAGAUAAAGUAAAUGAUCUUGUCUUCUGGAAAAUAUGACAAUGAUUUUUAACACUUGCCAUUUCACAAGAACCUAAGGCUCCUAUGCUCCAAUUACCCCAGUCUCUAUUAAUUCAAAAAAAAUGGGUGUGUCUGAAUUUUAGUGAUGUUAAAAAUAUGAAAACCAUGGGUCAUCUUUCCUUUGAUUCUAAAAGUGAAGAUGCAUAGGGAGGUAGAGGACCUGAUUAUAACAACCAAAGAAUUGGAGAAUAUUUGUUUUGGAAAGGAAUUGAAAGAAGGAUGAGCUCAUAUCCUUUAAUUUACAGAGUAAAAACCUGAAUCUCAUAAAGGUUAAAUGAUAAAUCCAAAGAUACAAAACUGAUGGGAGAGAUUUGAUUACACUAUGGUGCCCCACAGUUACCCACUAGGAACUCACCAGCUCCAAAUUUCACCUCCCUUUAGAAGAAAACUCCAUUUCUUUUUGUAAAAUAUCUUGACAGAUUCUCUCUGAAAUUGUGUACACCACAGACAAUGAUCAAGAGAAGUGAUGGACUUUUACAAUCCCAUUAUUCACUUUAUAUCUUUUCCAAUUUUCUGAAUUUACUGAUCCAAAUCCUAAGUCAGUGGUUCCAAACUGAGAAGCCAUUAAUGUAGAAGUGAGAAGCCAAUAGAAAAUCUUUGAACUAUUUAACAAUCUAAGAGAACUCAUACAUUUUACUAACAGUAUAAAUUAUCACGGAACUUCUGAUUUUCGAAGAGACUAUUAUUAAAGGAGAUUAUAUUAAGUUUUUAAUAGUUUG